GACGAACGCUGGCGGCGUGCUUAACACAUGCAAGUCGAACGGAAAGGCCCUGCUUGCCGGGUGCUCGAGUGGCGAACGGGUGAGUAACACGUGGGUGAUCUGCCCCUUACUUUGGGAUAAGCCUGGGAAACUGGGUCUAAUACUGGAUAGGACCAUGCUGUAGGUGGUGUGGUGGAAAGAUUAGUUUCGGUAAGGGAUGAGCUCGCGGCCUAUCAGCUUGUUGGUGGGGUAAUGGCCUACCAAGGCGUCGACGGGUAGCCGGCCUGAGAGGGUGGACGGCCACAUUGGGACUGGGAUACGGCCCAGACUCCUACGGGAGGCAGCAGUGGGGAAUAUUGCACAAUGGGCGCAAGCCUGAUGCAGCGACGCCGCGUGGGGGAUGACGGCCUUCGGGUUGUAAACUCCUUCCAGCCAUGACGAAGCCCUUGUGGUGACGGUAGUGGUAGAAGAAGCACCGGCUAACUACGUG
RNAcentral lists this ribosomal RNA (469 nucleotides) under uncultured bacterium. Its description in RNAcentral is "partial 16S ribosomal RNA". It matches the Rfam family "Bacterial small subunit ribosomal RNA", at positions 28 to 507 of the family's 1533-position model. The record is from RNAcentral.